Molecule: ribosomal RNA, 484 nt
Filed under: uncultured bacterium
Lineage: Bacteria
Description: partial 16S ribosomal RNA
Rfam family: Bacterial small subunit ribosomal RNA
Source: RNAcentral
AUUGAACGCUGGCGGCAUGCUUUACACAUGCAAGUCGAACGGCAGCGCUUGCUUCGGCCUGGCGGCGAGUGGCGAACGGGUGAGUAAUACAUCGGAACGUGCCCAGUAGUGGGGGAUAGCUCUGCGAAAGCCGGAUUAAUACCGCAUACGACCUGAGGGUGAAAGCGGGGGAUCUUCGGACCUCGCGCUAUUGGAGCGGCCGAUAGCAGAUUAGCUAGUUGGUGGGGUAAAGGCCUACCAAGGCGACGAUCUGUAGCUGGUCUGAGAGGACGACCAGCCACACUGGGACUGAGACACGGCCCAGACUCCUACGGGAGGCAGCAGUGGGGAAUUUUGGACAAUGGGCGAAAGCCUGAUCCAGCAAUGCCGCGUGUGUGAUGAAGGCCUUCGGGUUGUAAAGCACUUUUGGCGGGAACGAAAAGGACUGUGCCAAUACCACGGUUCGAUGACGGUACCCGCAGAAUAAGCACCGGCUAACUACGUG